This 465-nucleotide ribosomal RNA is filed under the name uncultured bacterium. RNAcentral describes it as "partial 16S ribosomal RNA". It matches the Rfam family "Bacterial small subunit ribosomal RNA", at positions 338 to 795 of the family's 1533-position model. The record is from RNAcentral.
CCUACGGGAGACAGCAGUAGGGAAUCUUCCACAAUGGGCGAAAGCCUGAUGGAGCAACGCCGCGUGGGUGAAGAAGGUCUUCGGAUCGUAAAACCCUGUUGUUAGAGAAGAAAGUGCGUGAGAGUAACUGUUCACGUUUCGACGGUAUCUAACCAGAAAGCCACGGCUAACUACGUGCCAGCAGCCGCGGUAAUACGUAGGUGGCAAGCGUUAUCCGGAUUUAUUGGGCGUAAAGGGAACGCAGGCGGUCUUUUAAGUCUGAUGUGAAAGCCUUCGGCUUAACCGGAGUAGUGCAUUGGAAACUGGGAGACUGGAGUGCAGAAGAGGAGAGUGGAACUCCAUGUGUAGCGGUGAAAUGCGUAGAUAUAUGGAAGAACACCAGUGGCGAAAGCGGCUCUCUGGUCUGUAACUGACGCUGAGGUUCGAAAGCGUGGGUAGCAAACAGGAUUAGAUACCCCGGUAGUC